UGUACUCUGAGAUGUUCGCCAGCGAGUCUAUAUCCCUGCCGAUACUUAUAUCUUCGGAUGUGUUCUGUGUAUUUAGAGUGUAUGUCUACCCUCGUGUAGAAAACCCAGCAAAUAUGCGUCGCGUCCACCUUGAACUCAUCGGGUUCAGGGUAACGACAUGCAGCGGCAUCGUCGGAGUACUU
This 182-nucleotide non-coding RNA is filed under the name Acinetobacter portensis. Its description in RNAcentral is "6S RNA". It matches the Rfam family "6S / SsrS RNA". Rfam says of the family: E. coli 6S RNA was the first non coding RNA to be sequenced, but its function was unknown until recently. It consists of 184 nucleotides that fold into an extended hairpin structure with a large single-stranded internal bulge. The record is from RNAcentral. Lineage: Bacteria; Pseudomonadati; Pseudomonadota; Gammaproteobacteria; Moraxellales; Moraxellaceae.